GCAAGGAAUUUUGUGCAAUGGGCGAAAGCCUGACACAGCAACGCCGCGUGAGGGAUGAAGGCCUUCGGGUUGUAAACCUCUUUUCUCAGGGAAGAAUAAUGACGGUACCUGAGGAAUAAGCUUCGGCUAACUACGUGCCAGCAGCCGCGGUAAUACGUAGGAAGCGAGCGUUAUCCGAAUUUACUGGGCGUAAAGUGGGCGUAGGCGGCCUUUCAAGUUGGAUGUGAAAUCUCCUGGCUUAACUGGGAGGGGUCAUCCAAUACUGCUAGGCUGGAGGGCAGCAGGAGAAAGCGGAAUUCCCGGUGUAGUGGUGAAAUGCGUAGAUAUCGGGAGGAACACCAGUGGCGAAGGCGGCUUUCUAGGCUGUUUCUGACGCUGAGGCCCUAAAGUGUGGGGAGCGAACAGGAUUAGAAACCCCUGUAGUCC
RNAcentral lists this ribosomal RNA (426 nucleotides) under uncultured bacterium. RNAcentral describes it as "partial 16S ribosomal RNA". It matches the Rfam family "Bacterial small subunit ribosomal RNA", at positions 354 to 796 of the family's 1533-position model. The record is from RNAcentral.